AUCAAAGGAGUAGGUUCAGUAAGACCCCUUUUUGGCCCCAAAAUAUAGCAGUUUUAGAAAAUUGUGAAAAUGUAAUCUUUAAACUAUAUUUUGGAAAGUAAAAUGCUUCUGCUACAUAGAUAUGAGCUGUUUUUGAAACUACAAUGCACAAAUAUCACGUUCUAGCAUCAUUAAGUCAUGCUAAAUUACUGAAAUCUUCAAACUUUUAGCAUUUUGGUUAAUUUUUAGACGGUUUCCUUCUAAAAUGAAAGUGGCGGCAUUUGUGUUCAUUCAU
RNAcentral lists this long non-coding RNA (274 nucleotides) under Mytilus galloprovincialis (Mediterranean mussel). The record is from RNAcentral. Lineage: Eukaryota; Metazoa; Mollusca; Bivalvia; Mytilida; Mytilidae.